RNAcentral lists this unclassified non-coding RNA (1265 nucleotides) under Leishmania donovani. RNAcentral describes it as "gene:LdHU3.11.0360(CDS-product:Sec20_putative)". Lineage: Eukaryota; Euglenozoa; Kinetoplastea; Trypanosomatida; Trypanosomatidae. The record is from RNAcentral.
CAACGUUUCUUGGUGCCCCUUGUCAUGGAAGCGACUGCCGCGCUACGCGCUGCGGCGGCAUCGCCCUCGCCUCCGUCUGCCUCGCCGUUACCGCCACGAACGGCUGAAGUACUUUUGUCCCUGGCGCACCGUGCGGACCAGGCGCUACACGAGCUGAUCACGACGCACCACGCCUUCGUGACGAAUCGUACGCAGCGCUUGCAUGGUGCCCUCUCCAUCGCCGCUGCACACGCGCAGCUGGUUCUACGGACAUUAGAAACGGUGCGGGAGCAGCGGGAGCGCGAGCGACACCGGGUGCACCAGCAGCUGCAGCAGCGGUCCGGCUCUUCGGCCUCUCCCGGUACUCGGACUGCAUCGCCCUCUGUGGCGAAUCGGGCGCCGACGAAAGAGGAGCGCCAGCUGUACAUGCGGCUGGAGAAGGCCCGCAUCGACCUUCGCCGCGUGCUUCCGCGCGCUGUGGCCGAGGUCGAGGACGCAGAGAACGUCACCGAGGGUGACGUGACGUCCACCUCAGGUCGAUCCGCCGCCAGCACCGCGGCGGCGCUCCGCUCGCUGCUCCACACGCGGUCCAUGCUCUCGAUGGAGCUCAAGAAGAUGGACACGGCGGUACAGGGGCUCGCCGGUUCCAGUGAGUCCCUCGCGACCCUUCAACAGUCGCUCCAAGAUGUGCACUCAUCGAUGGAGAUGGCACAGCGCAUGGUGCGCACGUUACUGACAGUGCAGUCGCGCGAUGAUCUGCUGCUGCGCGUGUCUGCCGUGCUGUUUGCGUUGGUGGUGCUGUACGUCGUGGCGCAGCGAGUCUUUCGCCUCUUUCCUACCACCGUGUACGUCACCUUGGACGAGGCGUGAGAAUGGGAAGGGGUGGGGGGCUCCGCGAUGGUGCGUGCCUGCGUAAUCCGCCCCACGUGUUUGUGGGCCCACGAGGCUGGUGUGAAGGGAAGCAGUUUUUGCCUUUACUGCUCUACGGUGUCGUCUCGAUCGCUCGCUCUCUCCUCCAGCGCCGCUAUGUUCAAGUCGCAUCCUCCGCUCACAUACACACACACGCGCGCCUACUCACACACGCGCGCGGUCCGCCUAUAUCUGCCUGCACUCUGCGCACGCACCGACCCUCAAGUCGACACGCUCACGGGUGUGCGACGCGCGUUUGCCAGCGCCUGUCCCCUCGCCCCUCGCAUCUCCACGUAUGGUCUCGGACGGUUCACACACACACACACCUCGACUGUAGGUCUUUCUGUCCUCCCCCCCCCUCUCCCCUUCUCGUGCAG